UACGUAGGGUGCAAGCGUUAAUCGGAAUUACUGGGCGUAAAGCGUGCGCAGGCGGUUGUGUAAGUCUGUCGUGAAAUCCCCGGGCUCAACCUGGGAAUUGCGAUGGAGACUGCACGGCUAGAGUGUGUCAGAGGGGGGUAGAAUUCCACGUGUAGCAGUGAAAUGCGUAGAUAUGUGGAGGAACACCGACGGCGAAGGCAGCCCCCUGGGAUAACACUGACGCUCAUGCACGAAAGCGUGGGGAGCAAACAGG
RNAcentral lists this ribosomal RNA (253 nucleotides) under uncultured bacterium. RNAcentral's name for it is "partial 16S ribosomal RNA". It matches the Rfam family "Bacterial small subunit ribosomal RNA", at positions 524 to 776 of the family's 1533-position model. The record is from RNAcentral.